AUGCAGUGGCUUCCUCCAUAUUUUGGACAUGUGACUGCAUUCUGUAUUGAGAGCCAUCCUGCUAAAUGCAUAAUACUUGCAGGCCCUUCGUUGUUUGAUGGAAAUGACACUGCCAGGAUCAAUGGUUCCGAGUCUGAUGAGUAUGAAAAAUUUGACAAGGGAUUAAUGCAGUAUGGAUGUGCACAUUACCGAAGGAGAUGCCGCAUACGAGCACCAUGCUGCAAUGAGAUUUUUGAUUGCCGGCACUGCCACAAUGAAUCAAAGAAUUCGAUCAAAAUUGAUACUCCUACGCGACAUGAACUUCCACGCCAUGAACUGCAGCAGGUCAUAUGCACAUUGUGUGGCACUGAACAAGAGGUACGACAAGUAUGCAUCAACUGUGGUGUAUGCAUGGGAAAGUAUUUCUGUGAAGUGUGCAAGCUCUUUGAUGAUGAUGUCUCAAAACAGCAGUAUCACUGCCAUGCGUGUGGAAUAUGUAGAAUUGGUGGCAGGGAGAAUUUCUUUCACUGCUCAAAAUGCGGAUGUUGUUAUUCCAAAGUGUUGAAGAACAGUCAUGCAUGUGUUGAAGGAGCCAUGCAUCAUGACUGUCCAAUCUGCUUCGAGUACUUGUUUGAGUCAAGAAACGAUGUCUCUGUUUUGCCAUGUGGUCAUACAAUUCAUGAAAAAUGCUUGAGAGAGAUGAAGGAGCAUUGCCAAUUUGCAUGCCCGCUCUGCUCCAAGUCAGUAUGUGACAUGUCGAAGGCAUGGGAAAGACUGGACGCGGAACUAGCGACUCUGUCAAACUCCUUCGAUGAUAAAAUGGUUCGCAUAUUGUGCAAUGAUUGUGGGGCAGUAUCAGAGGUGCAGUUCCACUUAAUUGCACAUAAGUGCCAUAAUUGCAAGUCGUACAACACCCGGCAGAUUUGA
This 906-nucleotide ribosomal RNA is filed under the name Triticum aestivum (bread wheat). Its description in RNAcentral is "partial small subunit ribosomal RNA". Lineage: Eukaryota; Viridiplantae; Streptophyta; Magnoliopsida; Poales; Poaceae. The record is from RNAcentral.